UACAGAAUGUCCAUGACUUUCCCUUUUCUCCUCGAUCACCCUGUGACUUCCCCUACAAAUGCCAGGAUAAAUAGCCUGGGCUCCAAUGCAACAGGCACUUAAUGGGGAACUAGAAACCUGCUCAGGAACUGGGUGUGUUCAGAGGGAGCUGAGUGUUGUGUUUCCUGUUUCAGAGGGAGCUUCCCCUGGGGGGUCUCAGUUGGAUUAUGAUAACGCGGAGGAGCCUGCAUUGAAUGAUGACCCCCCAGACUCCAGACGACCAAGAGGGCCCUGCCUUGCCUGGAGAUGUCCCUGGGGAUAGUUAUGAUGAUGUCAGAGAAGUUUUUGACCCUGAAGAUGAUCCUGGUUCAGGGCAGUGUGCCUAGGAAGUUACUUGGGCCCCUCAGGAGAGUGACAGGAAUAGGGAUUUACAGAGAGGUGAUUGGAAUCUGCACUCCCUAAGAAAUGAAGGGGCCUCAGGGACUGAGAGAGAUGGCCCAUUCCCGCCUCCUGGAGACCCAGGUUAUGAUGACGUUGAAGCUGGCAUCCCUGAGACAUCAAUAUAAGAAUGACUGAGUUCCAAUCAAAUAUCAUGUGAGGAUGUAAAUGCUGUAUGAUUAGACUCUUUCUCUCCUAUAUUCUAACUGGGCAUGGGGGCAUAAGAGACAGUCCCUGCCAUUGAU
Chelonoidis abingdonii (Abingdon island giant tortoise) is the source of this 662-nucleotide non-coding RNA. The record is from RefSeq and is a predicted model, not a curated record. NCBI's taxonomy places the organism in Eukaryota, Metazoa, Chordata, Testudines, Testudinidae.